RNAcentral lists this ribosomal RNA (509 nucleotides) under uncultured bacterium. RNAcentral's name for it is "bacterial SSU rRNA". It matches the Rfam family "Bacterial small subunit ribosomal RNA", at positions 501 to 1009 of the family's 1533-position model. The record is from RNAcentral.
CUACGUGCCAGCAGCCGCGGUAAUACGUAGGUGGCAAGCGUUGUCCGGAAUUAUUGGGCGUAAAGCGCGCGCAGGCGGAUUGGUCAGUCUGUCUUAAAAGUUCGGGGCUUAACCCCGUGAUGGGAUGGAAACUGCCAAUCUAGAGUAUCGGAGAGGAAAGUGGAAUUCCUAGUGUAGCGGUGAAAUGCGUAGAUAUUAGGAAGAACACCAGUGGCGAAGGCGACUUUCUGGACGAAAACUGACGCUGAGGCGCGAAAGCCAGGGGAGCAAACGGGAUUAGAUACCCCGGUAGUCCUGGCCGUAAACGAUGGGUACUAGGUGUAGGAGGUAUCGACCCCUUCUGUGCCGGAGUUAACGCAAUAAGUACCCCGCCUGGGGAGUACGACCGCAAGGUUGAAACUCAAAGGAAUUGACGGGGGCCCGCACAAGCGGUGGAGUAUGUGGUUUAAUUCGACGCAACGCGAAGAACCUUACCAGGUCUUGACAUUGAUGGACAGAACUAGAGAUAG